GCAGUCGAGCGACAGAAGGAGCUUGCUCCUUUGACCGUCGCGGCGGACGGGUGAGUACACGUGGGCACCUACCCUAUAGUUUGGGAUAACUCCGGGAACCGGGGCUAAUACCGAAUAAUCUCUCUUACUUCAUGGUGAGAGACUGAAGACGGUUUCGGCUGUCGCUAUAGGAUGGGCCCGCGGCGCAUUAGCUAGUUGGUGAGGUAACGGCUCACCAAGGCGACGAUGCGUAGCCGACCUGAGAGGGUGAUCGGCCACACUGGGACUGAGACACGGCCCAGACUCCUACGGGAGGCAGCAGUAGGGAAUCUUCCACAAUGGGCGAAAGCCUGAUGGAGCAACGCCGCGUGAGUGAAGAAGGUUUUCGGAUCGUAAAACUCUGUUGUAAGGAAGAACAAGUACAGUAGUAACUGGCUGUACCUUGACGGUACCUUAUUAGAAAGCCACGGCUAACUACGUGCCAGCAGCGCGUAAUACGUAGUGGCAAGCGUGUCCGAAUUAUUGGGCGUAAAGCGCGCGCAGCGUCUUAGUCUGAUGUGA
This 540-nucleotide ribosomal RNA is filed under the name Lysinibacillus fusiformis. Its description in RNAcentral is "bacterial SSU rRNA". It matches the Rfam family "Bacterial small subunit ribosomal RNA", at positions 57 to 597 of the family's 1533-position model. The record is from RNAcentral. Lineage: Bacteria; Bacillati; Bacillota; Bacilli; Caryophanales; Bacillaceae.